UACGUAGGGUGCAAGCGUUAAUCGGAAUUACUGGGCGUAAAGCGCGCGUAGGCGGCUUUGCAAGUUAGAGGUGAAAGCCCGGAGCUCAACUCCGGAACUGCCUUUAAAACUGCAUAGCUUGAAUCCGGGAGAGGUGAGUGGAAUUCCGAGUGUAGAGGUGAAAUUCGUAGAUAUUCGGAAGAACACCAGUGGCGAAGGCGGCUCACUGGACCGGUAUUGACGCUGAGGUGCGAAAGCGUGGGGAGCAAACAGG
RNAcentral lists this ribosomal RNA (253 nucleotides) under uncultured bacterium. RNAcentral's name for it is "partial 16S ribosomal RNA". It matches the Rfam family "Bacterial small subunit ribosomal RNA", at positions 524 to 776 of the family's 1533-position model. The record is from RNAcentral.